GAUGAACGCUGGCGGCGUGCCUAAUACAUGCAAGUCGAGCGAACAGACGAGGAGCUUGCUCCUCUGACGUUAGCGGCGGACGGGUGAGUAACACGUGGAUAACCUACCUAUAAGACUGGGAUAACUUCGGGAAACCGGAGCUAAUACCGGAUAAUAUAUUGAACCGCAUGGUUCAAUAGUGAAAGACGGUUUUGCUGUCACUUAUAGAUUGAUCCGCGCCGCAUUAGCUAGUUGGUAAGGUAACGGCUUACCAAGGCAACGAUGCGUAGCCGACCUGAGAGGGUGAUCGGCCACACUGGAACUGAGACACGGUCCAGACUCCUACGGGAGGCAGCGGUAGGGAAUCUUCCGCAAUGGGCGAAAGCCUGACGGAGCAACGCCGCGUGAGUGAUGAAGGUCUUCGGAUCGUAAAACUGUGUUAUUAGGGAAGAACAAAUGUGUAAGUAACUAUGCACGUCUUGACGGUACCUAAUCAGAAAGCCACGGCUAACUACGUG
RNAcentral lists this ribosomal RNA (497 nucleotides) under uncultured bacterium. Its description in RNAcentral is "partial 16S ribosomal RNA". It matches the Rfam family "Bacterial small subunit ribosomal RNA", at positions 28 to 507 of the family's 1533-position model. The record is from RNAcentral.